RNAcentral lists this long non-coding RNA (215 nucleotides) under Mytilus galloprovincialis (Mediterranean mussel). The record is from RNAcentral. Lineage: Eukaryota; Metazoa; Mollusca; Bivalvia; Mytilida; Mytilidae.
AAAAAAGUGCAUUUUCUGAAGAAUUCUGUAUGGAAUUUUCCUAUUUUGUAUUUUAGCCGGAAAAAACGUACGGUGACCCUAUCUUUUCUUUUGGUAUUCUCAAAGCAGUGUCUAAAAGCUAUCUUUUCCUGAAGUAUUUAACAAUUCUAUCAUUUUGUUUAGUUUCUAAUCACAAAAUGGGGUUUUUUUCCUGUAUAAUCCAUACAAAAUGUGUC